Molecule: ribosomal RNA, 369 nt
Filed under: Glaesserella parasuis
Lineage: Bacteria; Pseudomonadati; Pseudomonadota; Gammaproteobacteria; Pasteurellales; Pasteurellaceae
Description: bacterial SSU rRNA
Rfam family: Bacterial small subunit ribosomal RNA
Source: RNAcentral
AGGCAGCCCCUUGGGAAAAUACUGACGCUCAUGUGCGAAAGCGUGGGGAGCAAACAGGAUUAGAUACCCUGGUAGUCUACGCUGUAAACGCUGUCGAUUUGGGGAUUGGGCUUUAUGUUUGGUGCCCGUAGCUAACGUGAUAAAUCGACCGCCUGGGGAGUACGGCCGCAAGGUUAAAACUCAAAUGAAUUGACGGGGGCCCGCACAAGCGGUGGAGCAUGUGGUUUAAUUCGAUGCAACGCGAAGAACCUUACCUACUCUUGACAUCCUAAGAAGCUUUCAGAGAUGAGAGUGUGCCUUCGGGAACUUAGAGACAGGUGCUGCAUGGCUGUCGUCAGCUCGUGUUGUGAAAUGUUGGGUUAAGUCCCG